AAUCAACGCUGGCGGCGUGCCUAACACAUGCAAGUCGAACGCGAAAGGGGCUUCGGUCCUGAGUAGAGUGGCGAACGGGUGAGUAACACGUGGGUGAUCUACCUUCGAGUGGGGGAUAACGUUCCGAAAGGAGCGCUAAUACCGCAUGACGUUCUGGGUUUGAAGACCUGGAAACCAAAGCCGGGGACCGCAAGGCCUGGCGCUAGGAGAGGAGCCCGCGCCUGAUUAGCUAGUUGGUGAGGAAUGGCUCACCAAGGCGACGAUCAGUAGCCGGCCUGAGAGGGCGGACGGCCACACUGGGACUGAGACACGGCCCAGACUCCUACGGGAGGCAGCAGUGGGGAAUUGUUCGCAAUGGGCGCAAGCCUGACGACGCAACGCCGCGUGGAGGAUGAAGGUCUUCGGAUUGUAAACUCCUGUUGACCGGGAAGAAUGGGUUCCGAGCUAAUACAUCGGAGCAAUGACGGUACCGGUUGAGGAAGCCACGGCUAACUCUGUGCCAGCAGCC
RNAcentral lists this ribosomal RNA (508 nucleotides) under uncultured bacterium. Its description in RNAcentral is "bacterial SSU rRNA". It matches the Rfam family "Bacterial small subunit ribosomal RNA", at positions 29 to 516 of the family's 1533-position model. The record is from RNAcentral.